UACGGAGGGGGCAAGCGUUGUUCGGAAUUACUGGGCGUAAAGGGCGCGCAGGCGGCUGCUCAAGUCAGGCGUGAAAGGCCUGGGCUCAACCCGGGAAUUGCGCUUGAGACUGGGCUGGCUUGAGUGCGGGAGAGGAUGGUGGAAUUCCCAGUGUAGAGGUGAAAUUCGUAGAUAUCGGGAGGAACACCUGUGGCGAAGGCGGCCAUCUGGACGUCAACUGACGCUGAGACGCGAAAGCAUGGGGAGCAAACAGG
This 254-nucleotide ribosomal RNA is filed under the name uncultured bacterium. RNAcentral describes it as "partial 16S ribosomal RNA". It matches the Rfam family "Bacterial small subunit ribosomal RNA", at positions 524 to 776 of the family's 1533-position model. The record is from RNAcentral.